UUCUCGGUAGUAUAGUGGUUAGUAUGCAGGCUUGUCAAGUCUUCGGACAAGAUUCGCCUGAGACCCGGGUUCAAUUCCCGGCCGGGAAG
This 89-nucleotide transfer RNA is filed under the name Thermochaetoides thermophila DSM 1495. Its description in RNAcentral is "Chaetomium thermophilum var. thermophilum DSM 1495 tRNA". It matches the Rfam family "tRNA". Rfam says of the family: Transfer RNA (tRNA) molecules are approximately 80 nucleotides in length. Lineage: Eukaryota; Fungi; Ascomycota; Sordariomycetes; Sordariales; Chaetomiaceae. The record is from Rfam by way of RNAcentral.